Molecule: ribosomal RNA, 22 nt
Filed under: Stegonsporium acerophilum
Lineage: Eukaryota; Fungi; Ascomycota; Sordariomycetes; Diaporthales; Stilbosporaceae
Description: partial 18S ribosomal RNA
Source: RNAcentral
CGAACCAGCGGAGGGAUCAUUG